Molecule: long non-coding RNA, 1437 nt
Organism: Myotis daubentonii (Daubenton's bat)
Lineage: Eukaryota; Metazoa; Chordata; Mammalia; Chiroptera; Vespertilionidae
Source: RefSeq, a predicted model, not a curated record
GUGUUGGAGCUGGGCCAGGCUGGAGGGGCGGACAAGGCCCUGGCCGCAGAGCCCUCUGAGGGGUGGUGGGCAGUGGGAAGCCAGUGAAGGGUGUGGACUGGGGAGGGCAGAGUCGGAUUUGCUUUUGAUGGAGCUCCCUCUGGCUCCCCGUGGAGGGCCAGCUGGAGGAGCAGAGACCAGUGAUGCGGAUGUUGCAAUAGUCCUGGCCAGCAGGGAUGAGCUCAGAACGAAGGCAACAGCCGUGGGGAGAGAAUAAAGUCAUGGGAUCGCAUGGAUGAGGGAGAGGGAGGAGUCCAGGUGCUGCCCGCAUCUGUCCCCGGGAAUCAGGCCCCUGCUGGGCUCUGUGGCAUGGAGGUACUGGCCUACAGCGGGAGACGGACGGAGGGUCCUGGGAGCCAUAGCUGACAUCUAGAAGGAUGGAUCACUCCACCGAGGAGGUGGUAAAGAAGUGGCUAUGGAGGUUGCCAAGACCGUUCAAUGGGGAGAGAAGAGCCUUUCAACAAAUAGUGCUGGGACAACUGGAUACACUCCUGCAAAAGAAUGAAGUCGGACCCCUACUUCACACCAUAUACAAAAAUUAACUUUAAAUAGAUUGAAGACCUAAAUGUAAGAACUAAACUCUAAGACUCUUAAAAGAAAACAUAGAGGUAAAUCGUCAUGACCUCAAAUUUGGCAAUGGUUCCUCAGAUAUGACACCAAAAUCACAAGUAACAAAAGAAAAAGAUAGCUGCCCAGCCGGCGUGGCUCAGUGGUUGAGUGUCGACCUGUGAACCAAGAGGUCGAAGUUCGAUCCCCAAUCAGGGCACAUACCCGGGUUGCAGGCUCGAUCCCCAGAGUGGGGGUAUGCAGGAGGCAGCCAAUCAAUGGUUCUCUCUCAUCAUCGAUGUUUCUAUCUCUCCCUCUCCCUUUCUCUCUGAAAUCAAUAAGCAUAUUUUUUAAGUGUGAAAAAAAUAGAUACAUUGGAUUGCCUCAAAAUUAAACAUUUGUGUUUCAAAGGACACUAUCAAGAAAGUUAAAAGAAAACUCACAAAAUAUUUGCAAACAUAUUUCAAAUGACUGAAGAGAAUAUGUUCUAUAAAAGACUCCUCUUGGAAACUUCUUCAUGGUGGGCGUGGAAGGGGGAGACCCUUCCCCGUGUGCAGAGUGCAACCAUUCUGCCCUGCCCUUCAUGGAGUAAGUUUGCCCACGGGGGAUCUGGCCAUAUAGGAAAUUAGGGAAAUGAGAAUGGGAGGAGGGUGGGAAGAAGCAGGGACCCUUGCCCCCAGGGCAGCCACAGUUCUCUGGGAACUUGCUCACAAAUUCCCCAAAUUCUCCCAUAUUAAUUUUAGAACAAGUCUUCAAAACCCGAGGAGUCUAGGGGACGACCUGGCGCCAGUUCGGGCUGCUCUCAGAAAGGGGACAGCACGAGGGAGAGGCUGUCUGGCCUGGCCUCCUGGC